CUUUUGCAAUUUCAUUUAUUUUGGUCAACAAUAUGUGACUUUUCUUCAUGAACAUCCUGCAUAUUCCUUGUUUCAUUUAUCCUUGGUUAUUUAGAACAUUUCUUCUAUUUUAAUGCUAACUUCAAUUGACUCAAAUUUUGUUGACGGCUUGUGAGAUCAACCAAAAGCUAAAUGAAAUCAGUCUUCUGUGUGUGUGUUUGUUUUUAAUGCUUUCUAGAUUAGUCUGACAUGCACACCCAAUCGGAAAACACUAGCGCAGAAGAGGGAGAGCCUAAUAUCAGCAUUACCUAGGUAUUAGAAGAAUUUGGAUAUUAUUAUAUACACCUGGCAUGAUAGCUAGGACAGAACCUGUUCUGCCGGGAGAAGGCGCCUGCUCAGGGUUUCUCUUUCCCUACAUGGGAACCCCUGAAGGAGAGUCCUGCCUGUGAUCUUCAUUUAGAAGGCUAGUGCUGACCACUGCUUGGUUCUCAUCAAUCCAUCCUUGAGAUAUCCCCAAUCUCAUCUUAAAUCUGAAUUGAACCUGUCAUAUUAUAGCCUGGCUCUUCUCUCACCAACUAUUUGGGGGUAAUGUAGUGAUUCAUUUUGUUUCCACAUAUUAUUUUAAGUUCUUACUACCUCCUUCCCCCAUCUAGGUUCAGAUUUUCCCCUGCUUUUAACAUCUUGGUCCAGGCAGCUACAUUAUCAAACUGUACUAGGAUGGCAAAAUCAUUUUUUCACAUAUGCUAACCAUCAAUGAUUAGUGGUGAUUUUAUGGAAAAAUAUGUUGAGAAUAAUUUAGAGGAAAGAUUUGGGUUCAGAUAGAACUAUCUGCCAUUGGUAAGUAAAGUAAAGUGAUGUUGUCACUUAUUUUAUCCCAUCCAUGAUGAGAAUUGAUGUUUAUAAAACCUUUGACUAUACAAUGAGAGUAUUAAGCAAAAAACAAGUAACAAAAAUUAAAAAUAAAAUGCUUUUGUAAUCAAGGUCAGAGAGGAUAUUCUUUUACUUUUUCCAUUACAUUAUUCAUGUGUGCAUAAUGGUGUACAGUAUUACUUUCCAUGUGUAAAAAAGAAAUCAUACAAUAGAGUGCAUAGAGAAGUGGAGAAAUGGAGAAUAGUUCUCAAAGUUAUUUGAUCUGGCAGAUUAUCUUCCAAAGAUGAGUGCAACUGUAUUUUCCAUAUCACAGCCUCUUCUGGAAUAUUAAACUCUGCCCCCAUCAAGAGGUGGUGUCUGUGUCUGUUCUUGAAUUUGGGUGGGUCUUCCCGACUGCUUCAACCAAGAGAGUCCAGUAGAAAUGAUACUAUAUGAUUUUGGAGGUUAGAUCAAAAGACUGCCAUGCAUUUUAAUUUUGUUUUUUGAGGGUUGCUGUCUUUUAGAACCCAGCCAACAUACUGUGAUGAAGCCUAAACAACUGUGGAGAGGCUCACGUGGAGAGGAGUCAAUGCCCACUGAUCUAUAAGCCUUGGCUGAGCUCUGAGCCAACAGUCAUGAUCAACUUCCAGCCGUAUAAGUGAACCAUCUUGAAAGAGGCUUCACCAGCACCAAGUUGAGCAACUUGAUUAUGUUACCAAAGAUCACCUCCUUCCUAUCAUCUUCCGUCUGAGACUUGCUUAGAGUGAGUUUGGAAGCUGUGUUUUGCUCAUCCUGAAGACUGAACAUAAGAAAAUAUUGCUCAAGUUCUGGAUGAUGCAGCUGCUGAAAUAAUCUGUGGUGCACUUUCCUUCAGGAAUCCUUACCUAUUUUUUCAGGUGUUCCACAAGCCUUCUUAUCUUGGAAUUCAGUAAUACUUAUUGUGUGGUUGCUUACUGUUCCCUAGGCACCCUGAAGCAUUGAAGCUUUGAAGCUUUGUCUCAUGCUUUCAAGUAAUGUUCUCGUGUUUACCUGCUGAUAUUCCUUCAAAGUUAGAGGCUGCCUCUCUCCAAGUGUGGAAAAAAACAAUCAGAUGUCACUAAGAUAUUGUGUAACAAUUCAUAUUAAACACAUGAUCUUGUCAGUCAAGAAGAAGAGAUUAAAACAAACACCUUGAGAGUUCAUGAGUAGAAGUAUACAGCCCUGCAUUCAUGAUAAUAUGGUGCAUUUUACCUACCUUGCAGCAGAAAGAGAUAUCUAAUUCCAUACACAGCAAUGUAACUGUUUAAAGUGCUCCUAAAAUUCAGACAAAACAAAUUAUAAAUAGUAUCAAGAUCAAAGAAGCUGAAAGUCCCUAUGUUUGAUGUAGGCACAGCAAAGUUUGAUGUAUAUGCUCAUUUCUCAGCACUGCAAGUAUGGAGAAACCAUCAGAAAGCAUGCUGAAAAUAGAGAGGGCUUCUAAAACAGAAAGCUCCUGCCUGUUUUACUGAAGGCUACCAGAUUCUUUCUCAGAAAUUUUGUACAGUUCAGAGGCACAAAUGCUCUUUUAGGUCCUUUGAAGCACUGGGUUUAAUAUCGGAAUUUAAUCUUGGCUCUAGUCUCCAAUUCCUUACAUAGUCAUUCAAGCAAUCUUGGGGACCAAGUCUUCCAAUAGCAUAGUGAUAUUCAUGCCUGAAGUGGGAGGAAUAGAUAUCCUCCUCAUUAACAAGGGAUGAGAGAUCAUGUUUCAUAGGCAAAAUACUCAUGCAUGCAAAAAUGUAACUUUUCCAGUAAUUUUUUUAGUACUGAAAUUAGCUUAGCUCAUUAGCUCUCUCUUCUACCUAGUAGCAGGGAAUGCAGUUUUGCUAACCCAGGUGACUCAUUAUUUCUGUUUUCAAGUUUAGUUUAUUUUAGGUAAAUUUUUGAAUUCAUAAUGUUUUUCUGACCUUUCUUCUCUUCCAGAAGAGGUUAUUCUAACUUCUUAAUGGAUUUACUUUUGUAGUUGUUACUGUUAUAUAUAUAUAAU
RNAcentral lists this long non-coding RNA (2830 nucleotides) under Homo sapiens (human). Its description in RNAcentral is "HSALNT0267238". Lineage: Eukaryota; Metazoa; Chordata; Mammalia; Primates; Hominidae. The record is from RNAcentral.